This 341-nucleotide unclassified non-coding RNA is filed under the name soil metagenome. RNAcentral's name for it is "partial contains 5.8S ribosomal RNA, internal transcribed spacer 2, and large subunit ribosomal RNA". The stretch from base 1 to 120 matches the Rfam family "5.8S ribosomal RNA", at positions 35 to 154 of the family's 154-position model. The record is from RNAcentral.
GAUGAAGAACGUAGCGAAAUGCGAUAAGUAAUGUGAAUUGCAGAAUUCAGUGAAUCAUCGAAUCUUUGAACGCACAUUGCGCCCGCCAGCACUCUGGCGGGCAUGCCUGUUCGAGCGUCAUUUCAACCAUCAAGCCCCCAGGGGCUUGUGCUGGGGCCCUGCGGCUGCCCGCAGGCCCUGAAAACCAGUGGCGGGCUCGCUAGUCACACCGAGCGCAGUAGCACAUCUCGCUCAGGGCGUGCGGCGGGCUCCUGCCGUGAAACCCCCCACUGUAACCCCAAAGGUUGACCUCGGAUCAGGUAGGAAUACCCGCUGAACUUAAGCAUAUAAUAAGCGGAGGA